GGGGGAAGCAUUUUUGUGGUCAUGUUUCUGGUGUCUUCUGGAGUCUUGUUCCUGUGACCUGUUGCAUGGGCAGUUGUUGGGUGAAAAUGGGGACUGGAACCAUCUGGCUGGAGUCCCUGGACCUGGCUGUACAUGGGCUUCUAGAAGGCUGCUGCCGUUGGACUCCAGAGCGGACAAGGAUGGACCAGAGAGUGCUGUCCUGCUGUGGGGACGAGUGUCAGAUGGCGAGCCCGGCUGUGACCGCCUGCCUUGAUGCAGUCUGCCUGAAACCUGGACGGCCACUUCCUUCCCGGUGCCUCUAGCUCUCAGCCCCUGUUGCCUGUGGGAUUGUCUCUAGGAUGGAGGCCUGUGUCCGGCUCCACAGUGCUAGGGCUUAUUAAGUGUCUCCUUAAAGUUACCAAAGCAAGGCUGGAGGGCAUGUGCUGGAGGCCAGGCCAGGAGUGUCCCCACCUCCUCUCUGUGGAUGGACAGAUGCUGUACCAGGGGCUAAAGUCCUGCCCCGCCCCCUCUGCCAUCUCAAUACUGUACCUGAAGUGUACCUCUGAUGCAUCCGAUGUGUAAGCCUGUCAUUUGUGUUUUUGUGAGAUGCUGAUGUGCUGCUUAGUAUGUGCAAGGCCAUCCGGUGAGAUACCGUGUCCAUUAAAACUAGAGCAGUCCUGGGCCACUGCAGAGGAGUGGCACUUGUGGGAGCUGGCCUGUGGGUUUCUUUACCGCUCCCCAGGUGGAGGGUCCUGGUGGAGCCCAGCUGGCCCCUCCUGGUCUGCUGGGGAGUGCUGGCCUGGCAGGCGGGUGGAGGUGGGGCUCUAGGCCAGGGAGGCUGUGGUCUGUGGCUGGAUUGUUCCGAGCCUCCGCCCUCUCCUGCAGCCUUUGUUGCAGGUCUGUCCUGAAUUCCUGGCAUUUCUCCUCCUGCCUGCAACCCCUCUGGCCUGGCCUCGGGCUGCACCUGGGUGUGAGCCCCAGAAGACAGCUUCUGCUCAGGGCCCUCUUCUGUCUUGGGAGCUUUAACCUUGAGCCAGGGCCUCCACCUGCACCUCUGCUCAGCGUAGUAAGGACACUGCCUGUCAUGUGCCUGGGACUUCCUGGGGUAGGGUGUAUGUGUGGUGGGGUGGACUUUGGCAUCUCCCACCACCUGGUGCUGUGACCUUGGGAGCAGGCCGCACCAACCCCUGGUGUUUCUGGGCCUGAGCAGUGGUUGGAAACAGGUCCCUGUUCUGGCCUUGCUCACAGCUUGUUCUUGCCAAGGCCUGCCAAUCUUGCAGCUUUUGCUGGGCUCCUUCUCUAGGUCUAGGUGCCCCUUCAUCCGGGCAUCCUGGUCUGUGAGCUGGUUGGACAAGGCUGGCUCCAACCAGCCAGCCCCACUGUCCCGGCUGCCUGGGACUGUCCCAGCUGCGGCCAGGCUCCAGAGUCAGGAGCAGCUGGACCUCUGCCUGAGUCUGCAGAGAAGUGCCCUUGGCAUGGACACUGCAGGUGACCUGUGACCCCUCUGUACUCAGCUUUGGUUUUUUCCAGAGAGUCUAGGGAUGGGAACUUGAGCCUACUAGAAAGUUGCUCCUUUUCAAGAUGGAGCUGUGCCCUUUGAGAUGCUGUGACUUCCUUGGAGGGACCCUGAAUGGACUGUCCCAGGGAUAUGGUUGGGGGGUGGGGGGUGGGCAGGCAGUGGAGGAAUUCUGUGGAGGCCAGGUGUGUCUAGGAACCUCACUCUCUCUGGGCCUCGGACUCCCUGCUGCUGUGGGUGCGGGCCUUGGCAGCCUCCCCCCCACCCCUGCCCCUGCCUGGUGCUGGCUGACUGUCCUGACGGCAUCGUGGACAGCCAUCAUGGACAGCCAAUGGCAGCCAAGCCCAGGAACAAGCGCUCUUUGCUUUUCACUUACAACCACUUGCUCCAGUUUCAAAGAGUGUCUGGAUCCUCCCAUGAGAUGGAACAAGAAUUGCUACAGCAGGGACACCCCCCAACCCCCACCCAGAGCAUACUACUAAGGUCACAGGAAGAAGCUGGAUUUGAGCUCAAGCCUCAGUCACUGCUCACAUGUUCCCCUGAUGGGGGCGUCCUGGACUGCUGCUAGCACCCUGUGUCACAGCUGAGAAACUGAGGCAUGCAGAGGCUUUGGGACUGUCCCAAUCUCUAACCUAGGAACCCUGAUGUCCGAUGCCUCUAGCCUGGACUGGUGGCCCUUCCUGCACCUCCCUGACCUGCUGGAAAUUGGCUGAGGCCAGGGUGCAGCAUCCUAGGCUCAGGGGUGCAGUCCGAGAGUGGAGGGCCUUCAGCAUCCUCCCCAGUAAGGUAAGGUGAGGGGACGGAGAGGCUUAGGGCCCAGGCAGCCUCCCAAGAAUGCUCAGGGGGGACUGUCACCUUAAGGCCUGUUCUGCUUCAAGCAGGGUGCAGUGGGUGUUGGGGUGUGGGGCAUGGCCUCAGUCCUGGGAAUGAUGACAAAAUAAUAGGUCCCCAGUUCCCAGGCUGAGCCCCGAGAGCUGGGUGCUCCACUGUAGUCGUGUGGCCUGGCCUGUGUUCCAGACGGCUGUGACAGACGGGUCGGCGUUAAGCUGUGCUUUGGAUUAAAAGUACUUUAGUGACAAUGCUUGAUAUUUCAUUUUUGGCUCUGAUAGAAAGUUUAAAAUAGUUUGAUUUAAUUUUUUUUAAAAGAAUGUUGGUUUAAAUUAAAAAUUCACUUGCGCAGAGUGGAGGCAGCUUGCACGUUG
RNAcentral lists this long non-coding RNA (2697 nucleotides) under Marmota monax (woodchuck). Lineage: Eukaryota; Metazoa; Chordata; Mammalia; Rodentia; Sciuridae. The record is from RNAcentral.